Molecule: ribosomal RNA, 435 nt
Filed under: uncultured bacterium
Lineage: Bacteria
Description: partial 16S ribosomal RNA
Rfam family: Bacterial small subunit ribosomal RNA
Source: RNAcentral
AGCGAACGCUGGCGGCAGGCUUAACACAUGCAAGUCGAACGGGCAUCUUCGGAUGUCAGUGGCAGACGGGUGAGUAACACGUGGGAACGUACCCUUCGGUUCGGAAUAACUCAGGGAAACUUGAGCUAAUACCGGAUACGCCCUUUUGGGGAAAGGUUUACUGCCGAAGGAUCGGCCCGCGUCUGAUUAGCUUGUUGGUGGGGUAACGGCCUACCAAGGCGACGAUCAGUAGCUGGUCUGAGAGGAUGAUCCGCCACACUGGGACUGAGACACGGCCCAGACUCCUACGGGAGGCAGCAGUGGGGAAUAUUGGACAAUGGGCGCAAGCCUGAUCCAGCCAUGCCGCGUGAGUGAUGAAGGCCUUAGGGUUGUAAAGCUCUUUUGUCCGGGACGAUAAUGACGGUACCGGAAGAAUAAGCCCCGGCUAACUUCGUG